RNAcentral lists this long non-coding RNA (744 nucleotides) under Dermacentor andersoni. RNAcentral describes it as "uncharacterized LOC126529914". Lineage: Eukaryota; Metazoa; Arthropoda; Arachnida; Ixodida; Ixodidae. The record is from RNAcentral.
GAAAAACCUAGAGCGAAUUAAAUUGUGUGUCAGCUUCGUGUGUAUACAUAUAGUCUUUCCUAUGCAUUAGGUUUUUCGCGUAAUGCAUUACCAGUUGACAGCCUAUCUUAUGAUGUGUACUCUGUUUACAUUACAGUUGUUUAUUAGUUUACUCGUUUGUUUUGCGACUUAAUUAUGAAACGCCGGCAUAUAUAUAUUUUCAACAUUUGACAUAACCCUGUAUGUUUUGUAGCGACAACCCAGGGCGUGCAUUUCUCAGCACCCAGUCAACUGCCAGAAGUGACUCAAACACAGGCCACCAGUGGCACUCGGCUGUACCACUGCAGUGCUGCAGAAAUUGCCAGCACCAGCGGCUUUGCAACAGCUGUUUCACAGCAUGUCGGAGACAAUGCCUACGAAAUUAUUGGCCCUGAUGACGAGAGCCUUCAGGGGGCAAACGACAUCUCUGUUGCAGAAGUGAGCCCGAUACUACCUGAAGUUACCAUGACAGAUGACACGGCAACAAUAGAUACAGAGACUGUCAUGUCUACUGCAGCUGCAACAGUGUACGAGGCAAGCAGCAGCGCGUCAGCAUCAGCAGCAGCGUCAGAAGGAACCACACCAGGCCUGGUAGAGCGACAUGUGUGCUAUCACUGUGACUUUUUUUCUAGUGCAUACAACUCAUUUGCUCAACAUACAAAAGCUUUUCACCACGACUGUGAGCCAGUGUUCUUGUGCAAGUGCAAGAUUAAGUUAGGUGUUAUA